Molecule: long non-coding RNA, 634 nt
Organism: Triticum aestivum (bread wheat)
Lineage: Eukaryota; Viridiplantae; Streptophyta; Magnoliopsida; Poales; Poaceae
Exons: 3
Source: RefSeq, a predicted model, not a curated record
CGUCCUCCUCUCUGGUUUUGCUGAUUCCGACGGCGUCGGCUAGACCUACAGGAUAUCUGUGGCAUUUGUUCUUAUUAGGGUGUCAAUGCUGGCGAUGAAAAGAUUAUUAAUGCUCUUAUUUGGGUGUCAAUGCUGGAAGCUGCUCAUGAGAAAUGUAACUUGAAGGUAUAAUAUAUCUAUUCAAUGUCGAGCCUCUGUCCCCCUCUUCCAAAAGUUUGCUUGAUCGCGCCCGCGCCAUGGCCGCCGAGCUCCUUUUUGCUCCACCCGCCAACCAGAUCGGCCGAUGAGGCGGAUUGCCUCGAGGAGGUGGACCAUGGAGGCAAGGAGGUCAUCCAUGGUGUGUGCAUCCCCGACAUUCGCUCAUAUUUUCCUCCUCCGCUUCACGGACGCCGGGGACUCGGGCAUGGCCGCCGCCACACCCCCGCUCCCGCUGACCUUGAACUGGCGGUUCUGUUUCAGUUUUGCGUUGUCUGAUUUUGGUUCCGACGAUUCUUGACUAACCUGAAUUCACUUCUUCCAGGGGGUGACAGUCAGCUGCGUGACAUGAAUUUUGACACUGUAUGAGAGUCAUCCUUUGCAACAACUGAUAGCUAUAUUCUUGAUACUAAUCUAUUACUAUAUAAACAACAUGAAU